This 426-nucleotide ribosomal RNA is filed under the name uncultured bacterium. RNAcentral describes it as "bacterial SSU rRNA". It matches the Rfam family "Bacterial small subunit ribosomal RNA", at positions 355 to 774 of the family's 1533-position model. The record is from RNAcentral.
UCGAGAAUUUUUCACAAUGGGCGCAAGCCUGAUGGAGCGACGCCGCGUGGGGGAUGAAUGGCUUCGGCCCGUAAACCCCUGUCAUUUGCGAUCAAACCUUGCUAUUUAAAGGAUGGCGAGCUGAUAGUAGCGAGAGAGGAAGGGACGGCUAACUCUGUGCCAGCAGCCGCGGUAAUACAGAGGUCCCAAGCGUUGUUCGGAUUCACUGGGCGUAAAGGGUGCGUAGGUGGUGGGGUAAGUCGGAUGUGAAAUCUCGGAGCUCAACUCCGAAAUGGAAUUGGAAACUACCCUGCUAGAGGGGCGGAGGGGGGACUGGAAUUCUCGGUGUAGCAGUGAAAUGCGUAGAUAUCGAGAGGAACACCAGUGGCGAAGGCGAGUCCCUGGACGACUCCUGACACUGAGGCACGAAAGCUAGGGGAGCAAACA